CAGUUGGCUUGUCCCGCAAUGUGGUUUUCGCUGUCACUCCCAUAAUCCACAUCCGGGUCCUCCUCCUCCUCAUCGUACUCCUCGUAAAUCUCUCCGUUGAUGUCCUCAGCCUGGAUCUCCUCCUUGAUGUGAGGCUCCUCCCCCUUCACGCCAUAAGUGCUCUGAAUCACGGGCAUCCCGGGCUCCGGGCUGCUGGACACACUCGAGUGCUCUGAGGGCAGGUGAGGGGACGGCAUUCCGGCCAUGGCGAUGGCGCCUGGGUACACGACGCCAGCCGUAGCGAUGGGGAUCUGUGCUUGUUGCCUGCCACAGAAAGAGAAGCUCACAGCAAUAUUUACAACAGCCAUCUAGAGACCACUAAUUGAAGCAUCUUCGUCUGAGUGGAGAGCUCCUGUGCUCCUUCCUGCUCACUAUUUCUGAGGAAAGCCCCCAGCUCUGAGUCUCUAAAGCCUUUCCCUUAUCUCUGGGAAGGAGCAUCAGAUAACUCUGCUAAGAUUAACUGCGUCAGUUUCUGAAGCGCCAACACCGCUCAAGCUAGCCCCAUCCAUCAGACGACUGGUGAAGUGUCCGUGAGGAAUGAUGGAUGUAAAAUUAUCACCGGGGUGCCAUGGGAUGCACUUACUGUCAUUUGUAACUAAUGCUCUCAAGCCACACACUUUUUUCCCACUAUUAAACAUCUGCAUUAAGUCUA
Mastomys coucha (southern multimammate mouse) is the source of this 691-nucleotide long non-coding RNA. RefSeq lists it as uncharacterized. The record is from RefSeq and is a predicted model, not a curated record. The transcript has 2 exons. NCBI's taxonomy places the organism in Eukaryota, Metazoa, Chordata, Mammalia, Rodentia, Muridae.